RNAcentral lists this microRNA precursor (146 nucleotides) under Canis lupus familiaris (dog). Its description in RNAcentral is "miRNA (ENSCAFG00000053756.1)". The stretch from base 25 to 121 matches the Rfam family "mir-8813 microRNA precursor family". The record is from RNAcentral. Lineage: Eukaryota; Metazoa; Chordata; Mammalia; Carnivora; Canidae.
UCCCAGGUCCCUUUACAGAGACCCUGGUGACCUGAGGCUCCCUGGCCAUCACUCUUGUCCCAGGCCCUCCUGGCCCGGGGGCACAGGCUGAGUCCCAGUAUAGUUUGUGGGGUCCUGACCCUGGCAUCUGGCCGCCCCUGGAAGGC